GCUGGGCAUGGUGGUGCGUGCCUGUAGUCCCAGCUACUCAGGAGGCUGAGACAGGAGAAUCGCUUGAACCCAGGAGAUGAAGGUUGCAGUGAGCCGAGAUCACGCCACUGCACUCCAGCCUGGGCAACAGAGCAAGACUCUGUCUCAA
This 148-nucleotide non-coding RNA is filed under the name Pan troglodytes (chimpanzee). Lineage: Eukaryota; Metazoa; Chordata; Mammalia; Primates; Hominidae. The record is from Rfam by way of RNAcentral.